AUUGAACGCUGGCGGCAGGCCUAACACAUGCAAGUCGAGCGGGGUUUUCGGACCUAGCGGCGGACGGGUGAGUAAUGCGUAGGAAGCUACCCGAUAGAGGGGGAUACCAGUUGGAAACGACUGUUAAUACCGCAUAAUGUCUACGGACCAAAGUGUGGGACCUUCGGGCCACAUGCUAUCGGAUGCGCCUACGUGGGAUUAGCUAGUUGGUGAGGUAAUGGCUCACCAAGGCGACGAUCCCUAGCUGGUUUGAGAGGAUGAUCAGCCACACUGGAACUGAGACACGGGCCAGACUCCUACGGGAGGCAGCAGCGGGGAAUAUUGGACAAUGGGCGCAAGCCUGAUCCAGCCAUGCCGCGUGUGUGAAGAAGGCCUUCGGGUUGUAAAGCACUUUCAGUAGGGAGGAAGCGUUGUGUGUUAAUAGUACACAGCGUUGACGUUACCUACAGAAGAAGCACCGGCUAACUCUGUGCCAGCAGCCGCUGUAA
Molecule: ribosomal RNA, 488 nt
Filed under: uncultured bacterium
Lineage: Bacteria
Description: partial 16S ribosomal RNA
Rfam family: Bacterial small subunit ribosomal RNA
Source: RNAcentral